AUCGGCUUGCGUUCGUGGCCAUCUAAGAAUGGAACGAUAUGAGAUCUUACAACAACAUGAUCUAAGAGCGACGCCACUUACAGCAUGAUCUGAGAGGGCAGCGUCAUACCCAAUUCGAAGCGUCAUCUCCGACAACACGACGCAAUAUUGAUGGCUCUGAUUAGAUCCAACAUCAAAGAUGAUGGGUUUAGAAAAUGAUGGGUUCAAAUGGUGCUAUGCUGUGGUGGUGAUUUUACGAUUUGGUGUGGUGUGUGUGGUGUUUUUGCAAUUGGUGGUGUGUGGUGGUGGUUGCAGCGUAGGUGUGUGGUUUGUGGUGAGGUUUUUCACAUUGUUGUAGUGUGUUGCGGUUGCAAUUGUGUGUGUAUGGUUGUUGUGGUGUGUGGUGGUUGUGGCGAUGGUAUGAAGAUCGUGAAUGGGUUGGAGAUGUUUGUGACUAAUUAUUCUGUCGAUUGUGACUAAUAACGAAUGUGUGACCUAAAAAAUGUGAUAGUAAUUCACAAUUUAUAAAGUUGUGAUCGAGAAAUAACUUGUGGCCAAUUAGUUUUGAUAAUUUGUGAUCGAAAAAUAAAUUGUAAC
This 576-nucleotide long non-coding RNA is filed under the name Olea europaea (common olive). RNAcentral's name for it is "long non-coding RNA (OEUR_LNC006712)". Lineage: Eukaryota; Viridiplantae; Streptophyta; Magnoliopsida; Lamiales; Oleaceae. The record is from RNAcentral.